Molecule: long non-coding RNA, 4673 nt
Organism: Pan troglodytes (chimpanzee)
Lineage: Eukaryota; Metazoa; Chordata; Mammalia; Primates; Hominidae
Exons: 6
Source: RefSeq, a predicted model, not a curated record
GCAUUCAUUACAAAUCGUGUCCACAGCCCGCUUCCCAACUUCCAACUUCCACCUCCAGGGGAGGACUGGGGGCUGGAGAUUGCAUUAAUUUCCAAUGGCCAGUGGUUUAAUCAAUCAUGACUAAGUAAUGAGCCUCCGUAAAAACCAGAGCUUCCGGUUUGGUGAACACACGGAGGUCCUGGAAAUGGUGGCGCGCCCAGAGGGCAUGGAAGCUCCGCGCCCCUUCCCACAGACCUUGUCCCGUGCAUCGCUUCCAUCCAGCUCUUCUUGAGUUCUGGCCCUUGUAGUAAACCUGCAGUCUUGAUCAAUUUUCUCUCAGGAGGUUCCUCAUUGACUCAUGCAAACAGAUUUCUGGCGAGAACUGCUCCAAGGCCUUCCAGAUGUGCACAGGCAUGGAUGAAUCAGAGCAGAAGUGGACAGAUGUAGCUCAAAUGGAGGGUUCUGCUAUAAUCUCAAUCCGUACCCAGGCUGGAGUGCAGUGGCGCGAUCUCGGCUCACUGAAACCUCUGCCUCCCAGGUUCAAGCGAUUCUCCUGCCUCAGCCUCUCGAAUAGCUGGGAUUACAGGCAACUACCAUUUUUCACCCUCUGUCUUUUGAUGUUCGCCUGACAAGCUCCUGGUGGUAGCCGGUAGCUCUGACAGAGAGCAAAAGAAAUAAGGGGCGGUUUUAGCUGAUAACCUCACCAGUCUUCACUUCGGCUCUUCCUUCACUGCCCCUUCAGCUGCGGGGAACUUGCUCUAGGGCAUCUUGGCAGGAGGGAGGGCGUCUGAGGGUACUGGUGCCUGCAGACUUCAAGCACGGGGAGCCUUCUUGAAGCGGGGCUGCCUGGCCACUUGGAAAAAGGUGGAUUAAUUUGGGGAUAUCCGAGGAGCCCCAGAGGGCCAUUGUAAUUCAAGAUCUUCAGUAAACUUUUGCCGCGGAGAAAGAACCCGGCCAGUAUUGGGACCAUCGUGGUGACGCAGGAUUGGAGGAACAGGGGUUUCGGUUGACUGAGAAGUUCCUGUGAGAGAAACAGGCUCAAAUAGAGAGAACAGAAAGAUGUCGUGAGGAGCCAGGAAACAAAAUUUUCCAGGGGUCAGGGAAUGAAUUCUAAUCAGAACAAGGAGCCAGCAAGAACUUCCAGCCUAGGAGGUACUUUUCAAAAGAAGCCUGGGACUCUAACCCAGCUUCUGAGAGUAUACUCAGAAUUGUUAAGAAUCAGGCAGGGCGCGGCGGCUCAUGCCUGUAAUCCCAGCACUUUGGGAGGCUGAGGCGGGUGGAUCACUUGAGGUCCGGAGUGUGAGAUCAGCCUGACUAACAGGAUGAAACCCCAUCUCUACUUAAAAAAUACAAAAUUAGCUGGGCGUCGUAGCGCAUGCCUGUAAUCCCAGCUACUUGGGAGGCUGAGGCAGGAGAAUUGCUUGAACCCAGGAGGUGGAGGUUGCAGUGAGCCAAGAUCGCGCCCUUGCACUCCAGCCUGGGCAACAAGAGUGAAACUCUGCCUCGGAGGAAAAAAAAAAAAAAAGAAUUGAAAAAAUGAAAACCUGUCCUCAAUGUGCCUGAAUAAAUGCUUGUUCAGACACUGGAUGUGAAGUCCGAUUCCCCACUGGAUACCCAAACUGCAGGAGGUAAGUGGUUCCCAUCUGGACCCGAGUUGCCUACCAGACCAUUGUCAGAAACACAGUUGGACGUGAGUUAAAGUGGUGAAAAAACAGAUUUUAUUCAGUAACUACUGAAAGUAGGGAAGGAACUGAGCUCUAUUCCGAUUUCGGCAGAGGUGAUUUGGGUGUUUUAAAGAAAGAAUGAGGGAGACGGGAAUAAAGGAGCUCCGAAGUGUCGGGGAAGUGAAAAAGUGCAAAGGGGAGCUUCCGGAUAGCGAAGCACAUGGAGGUUCCUGGAGGGUGUCCUCCCAGAGAGGACGUGGAACCUUCCCGCUCCCACCGCGCACUUGCCCUGUGUAUCUCUUCCCUUUGGCUGUUCAUCUGCAUACGUGGUAAUUUCCUUUAUAGUAAACUAAUAAACGGAAAUUUGCAGCAGCUGUGAAAAACUUCAAUUUUCUGAAUCCACUUUUGAUUUUUAGUGGCGAUUGCUUAAAUGCCUCAGUUUUAAGUACCAUAACGAAAGGAAAGCAUACGAUUCCUAUAUUAAUGAAUCGGAAGUACCUUUUGCAGUUUUUGCUUUGCUUUUUCAGACAGGGUCUUAUUCUGUCAUCCAGGCUGGAGUGCAUUGGUGGGAACACAGCUCACUACCUACUCAGCCUCCUGAGCUCAAGCGAUCCUCCCACCUCAGCCUCUCAAGUGGCUAGGACCACAGGCACCCACGCACUACACCGCCUAACUAAUGUUUUGUUUUAUAUUAUAUUAUUUUAUUUUAUAGAGACAGAGGUCUCACCAUGUCGACCAGGCUAGUUUUGAACUCCUGGCCUCAAGCAAUCCUCCUCCCACCUCAGCCUCCCAAAGUGCUAAAAUGAUAGGUGUGAGCCACUGCACCCGGUGAUUUUGCAGUUUUUGGAAACCACAAGUUUGAUUUCGGUGUGAAUAUUUUGGAAGAAUCUAUGAAACAAAUGCACUUCAUCUGAUUUCUCAGUAAUGUUGAUGAUAGAUUUACUUCUGAACCUCUUGGACGUGUGUAUGUUAGAAGUUCUCCACCCAAUUGAUACAGAAUUAUAUAGCUGUGAAAUUACUGUAAGAAGAACCGAAGCAACGUUGGAAAUUUGGUAACUAAUGCCACGUUGGAAGCUAUUCAUGCCAAUGUAGCAUUGCUUCAUACAGGUACUUCCAGAUCUAAUUGAAUACAUCCAGUGGGAAAUUUCGCUUUGCGUGAUUUUUUGGCUAUCUUACUCAUAGUGGACCCCAGUUUUAGUUGUCAGAGUAACACAGGCACAGCUGCUUGAAGGUCUUGAAAAUGAGGUUAACAAAUAUUCAGCUUUUGGUGGGAGUUUUUCUCAAGUUGUUGGAAUAGAAUUUGGACUCAAUUCAGAUGCAGAACUGGGACACUGAAUGAUAAGAGAUACUGUGAAAGUUCAAGGACCAUACGAAAAAAAUUUACCUUCUUGCUGCUAUAAACAAUAUAUUGCACAUGGGAAAGAUAGUUACGUUAUGCCUGAUAGUUGUUCUUGAAUGUUUGACACAGAAACUGUACAAGUACCUUCCACAGUCAUCAUGAAUCACUUUUAAUCGAUAAAAAUUUUGUAGGGAAGGAAGCAGUGUCUUUCAGGCCAUUGAAUGAAUUUGAUUACUACUACGAACAAAUCAUCGUUAUUAACAGCCUUCGAGGAAGAAUCAGAUAAGCCAUCAGCAGUAAUUGCAGUACCUGGCAUAGAAGGGUGAAUUUGCCAUAUUUCUCAGCACAUGAAAGAACAUUUGUACCAACUUAGAGCCGGAGGGGAACAAGGUUUAAGAACUUUUCCCAUUAUUAGUGGUAAUGCAUCUGAAAAUUUUGAUUCUGAUUGAAAUACUAUAUGGGUAAUAUAUAAUCAAUGCCCAACUGAAUGGAGAAAACCUACACUUUUUGCAUUGUUAGGCACAGUAAUAUAAUUUUGGCUCUUUGGCAUUGUUCUAGAAUUAAUUUUAAUUCUAGGGAUAUUGCUCUAAAUGUGCUUCUUAUCACUUUUGACUCUUCAGUGUGUUAUCCAGGAAACAAUAUAUAUACACUUGUGAACUGUUGUUUGUGAUUUAAGCAUAUAUAUUGAAUAAUGUUUCCAGAUUAAAUGACUUCCAAGCUCCAAAGAAAAGAGUACAAAGCAUUGGUCAAUAUAAAUGUGAUUAGGUCAGCUGUGUCUGCUAGCAGGCAGUUAUCUGAAUUAGGGAUCUAUCCUCCCACAGAGAGUUGGAGACGGAGGCCUUAUCCUUCUUGAUGAUUAUAUUUUGAAGGAAUGGCUCUCAGAUCCUUGAGAGAGAUGCUCCUGAGUUACAAUUGUGAGGACUUUUUGGUAAGUGCCCUAAGAAAGGGUGGUCAAGGAGCUAUCAUCAGAUGUGUGCUGGCUAGAGCACAUAGUAGAUUUUCCUGGCAGCACUUAGCUUUCUCAGGCAGGCACUAUUUAGGGGCCUGGGAUCAUUCUAGGGACACAGCCUUAUGCUGCCAGAAGCCAAACUUGUUUGAUCAGGUCUCAGUGCAGGGAUUCGGAUGGGGUUUUCAUGUGCCAAGGGUUCUGCACUCUUCCUUCUCUGCUGCUUGGCACUGUGCAUGGUGAUCCGUACGGUAAUCUACACAGCGUGGUGCUCCUCACCGCAAUCUAUGGGACAGCUCAGGGAGAACUCAGCUUUUCCAGCCCCCCAGUUUUAGGUUGAAAAAUCAUGGUAAUACCCAUUAAAAAACAACACAAGCAGUAGCCAGCAAGCAGCGAGGUGCCAACAUUGGGGUGCCCUCUCAGGCAGUGGCUGCCGUCUGCUGGGGCCAGUUACUAAGCACUCUACAGACUCAUUGUCUCCAUGUGGUGUACACCACCUAGCUUGCUCGCUGUACUAACUGUUCUAAAAAUAUACCCUGGCCUUGUUUUUGAGCAGGUAUAGUAAGGCACACACACCAGACACGCAAAUGAUCACCAGAAAGGAAUACUGUUUUUUCUUUUUCUUUUCUUUUCUUUCUUUCUUUUUUUUUUUUUUUUUUUUUGAGAUGGAGUCUCGCUCUGUUGCCCAAGCUGGAGUGCAGUGGUGCAAUCUAAGCUCCUAGCAACUUCUGCCUCCCGGAUUCAA